This 74-nucleotide small RNA is filed under the name Burkholderiaceae bacterium 16. RNAcentral describes it as "isrK". Lineage: Bacteria; Pseudomonadati; Pseudomonadota; Betaproteobacteria; Burkholderiales; Burkholderiaceae. The record is from RNAcentral.
GUCGCUACAACCACAGCGACCGGGAUUGGCGUCUCGACUACGUAGGAAGACAACCGCCGUAAGGCGGUUCUUCU